This 253-nucleotide ribosomal RNA is filed under the name uncultured bacterium. Its description in RNAcentral is "partial 16S ribosomal RNA". It matches the Rfam family "Bacterial small subunit ribosomal RNA", at positions 524 to 776 of the family's 1533-position model. The record is from RNAcentral.
UACAGAGGGGGCAAGCGUUGUUCGGAAUUACUGGGCGUAAAGGGCGCGUAGGCGGCCUGUUAAGUCGAACGUGAAAUCCCUAGGCUCAACCUAGGAACUGCGUCCGAUACUGGCAGGCUUGAAUCCGGGAGAGGGAUGCGGAAUUCCAGGUGUAGCGGUGAAAUGCGUAGAUAUCUGGAGGAAUACCGGUGGCGAAGGCGGCAUCCUGGACCGGCAUUGACGCUGAGGAGCGAAAGCCAGGGGAGCAAACGGG